GAUGAACGCUGGCGGCGUGCCUAACACAUGCAAGUCGAACGGAGUCCAGCCUUUAAGACCUUCGGGUCAAAGAGGGGAAGACUGAGUGGCGGACGGGUGAGUAACACGUGGGCAACCUGGCUCAUAGAGGGGGAUAACAGAGAGAAAUUUCUGCUAAUACCGCAUAAGCACACACUGCCGCAUGGCAGAGGGUGAAAAGAGAAUCGCUAUGAGAUGGACCCGCGUCUGAUUAGCCAGUUGGCAGGGUAAGAGCCUACCAAAGCGACGAUCAGUAGCCGAUCUGAGAGGAUGACCGGCCACAUUGGGACUGGGACCCGGCCCGAACUCCUACGGGAGGCAGCAGUGGGGGAUAUUGCACAAUGGGGGGAACCCUGAUGCAGCGACGCCGCGUGAGUGAAGAAGUAUUUCGGUAUGUAAAGCUCUAUCAGCAGGGAAGAUAAUGACAGUACCUGAAUAAGAAGCCCCGGCUAACUACGUG
Molecule: ribosomal RNA, 478 nt
Filed under: uncultured bacterium
Lineage: Bacteria
Description: partial 16S ribosomal RNA
Rfam family: Bacterial small subunit ribosomal RNA
Source: RNAcentral